Molecule: non-coding RNA, 346 nt
Organism: Pelobates cultripes (western spadefoot toad)
Lineage: Eukaryota; Metazoa; Chordata; Amphibia; Anura; Pelobatidae
Source: the annotation of a GenBank genome assembly
AGAUAAUGGUCUAGGGGUAGCCUGAAAAUCAGUACACACUCUUGUUCUUAUUUACCUCGGCACCGCACAAGGCUAGUGCCUACCUGAACCAAAAGUCCCUCAAGGAUAAUUUCACUCAAAAGUGCAUAGUGCUACCAAAUGUGAAUAAAGGUCACCCAUAGACCACUAGCAGGGAAUCUCAUUGAUGGGUUGUGAAUAGUAGCCAUGCCUCUUGUAUUCCCUUUCCUCCUUCCUCUAGAGCAGUGUUUCUCAAUAAGUGUUCCCUAAGAACAAAAUUGGGAUUCCGCGGCGAUUUGCCCGUCGGCUGGCCCAAGCAUUUAGGGCUAUCCGAUGGGUAUCGCUAAAC